AUUGAACGCUGGCGGAAUGCUUUACACAUGCAAGUCGAACGGCAGCACGGACUUCGGUCUGGUGGCGAGUGGCGAACGGGUGAGUAAUAUAUCGGAACGUGCCCAGUCGUGGGGGAUAACGUAGUGAAAAUUACGCUAAUACCGCAUACGAUCUAUGGAUGAAAGCGGGGGAUCGCAAGACCUCGCGCGAUUGGGGCGGCCGAUAUCAGAUUAGGUAGUUGGUGAGGUAAAGGCUCACCAAGCCGACGAUCUGUAGCUGGUCUGAGAGGACGACCAGCCACACUGGAACUGAGACACGGUCCAGACCCCUACGGGAGGCAGCAGUGGGGAAUUUUGGACAAUGGACGCGAGUCUGAUCCAGCCAUUCCGCGUGCAGGACGAAGGCCUUCGGGUUGUAAACUGCUUUUGUACAGAACGAAAAGGUCUCUAUUAAUACUAGGGGCUCAUGACGGUACUGUAAGAAUAAGCACCGGCUAACUACGUGCCAGCAGCCGCCGUAA
This 500-nucleotide ribosomal RNA is filed under the name uncultured bacterium. Its description in RNAcentral is "partial 16S ribosomal RNA". It matches the Rfam family "Bacterial small subunit ribosomal RNA", at positions 30 to 523 of the family's 1533-position model. The record is from RNAcentral.